AGUGUUCCUACUGCUUCUGCAGUGCUUCCUGAACGCCGUGUUACAGUGUUUGAGCAGCACAAGGCCUCUUCGAGACUUUUGUCUGCGAAGGGACUUCCGGCAAGAGGUGCCCGGAGGAGGCCGAGCCCAGGAACUCACAGAAGGUGGGCAACAACUCCUGAUGCUUCUGUUCUCCUUCCCCAUCCCCUUCGGUUCUCUCCUCCCAAUACCCAUGGCUCCCAGCCCUUCAAGCUGACAGAUUCAUCCAUUUCCCCCAGUUUCUUUCUUCCUAGAGAUUUUCUAGCCACUGAAUCUCUUCCUGCCUGCCCUUCCAGACAUUAACUUUGAAUCCCUUCCCCACUGUCAAACCAACAGCCUUUGCAGAUGUGAUUGGUGCCCUCUGGCACCCUGACUCCUGUGAAGCUGUGAAUCCUACCCGAUUCCGGGCUGUCUUCCAGAAAUACGUCCCUUCCUUCUCUGGAUACAGGUGGGAACUGAGUGAAUAGGAUUUCUCUCUGGCUGUGUCUGGGGUUGGGCCAAACAGAGGCUCUAGCAGCCAUGUUCUGAGCCUUGAGGUUUCCUACAGAGGAAACAGGGACCCAGAUUGGGCAGGGGAUACUUGUGG
This 604-nucleotide long non-coding RNA is filed under the name Rattus norvegicus (Norway rat). Its description in RNAcentral is "long non-coding RNA NONRATT008964". The record is from RNAcentral. Lineage: Eukaryota; Metazoa; Chordata; Mammalia; Rodentia; Muridae.